RNAcentral lists this long non-coding RNA (1382 nucleotides) under Nicotiana tabacum (common tobacco). RNAcentral describes it as "long non-coding RNA (NTAB_LNC014020)". Lineage: Eukaryota; Viridiplantae; Streptophyta; Magnoliopsida; Solanales; Solanaceae. The record is from RNAcentral.
AAUGAAAUUGUUCUAUUUUAUUCCAUGGCCUAGGCCUGGCCUGAAGCCCAAUAGCCAAUUGCUAGUUACUUGACAAAAAUGAGAAUACAAUUGGGCUCGACAUGAAGCCGAAAUCGAAAACUUAAUGGCAAGAGGGGAAUUUGGCACAGCUAGGCUAAUGCCGGUGGCGCAAUUUAACAUUUCAGCACUAACGUUGGGAGAAUACUACAAAUUUCACGAAACUCCUUGGAUCUGAACAAACACAGACAAACUUGAUCACGUGUGAAGCACAUUUGAAUAUCACAUAUGUUCUUUACUGAAAAUAUGAUCCCCAAUGCGAUAACCAAAACCUUUACACAAAUUGUUCCUCAUUUAACAUCAAAAAUUCUGAGAUCAAAGCUCAUGCUAAAUUCUGAUCUCACACCAGCAUAUUUAAACAAGACCACAUGACUCAAAAUUUUCUAAAGAAAACCAAAUGUAAAGAAUUAAUCUAAAUCUGAGAAUCCUCAAAGCUGAAAUCAAACUCAAAUUCCAUUUGAAAGUUCUUUUAAAAAUUCAAAGUUCUUAUAUAUGAACAGAGGCAGAACUAAGUUACAAAUUUCUGAAAUCAAUAGACUAUGCUUCAGGCUAUAUAUAAGCAAGUCUGAACACAUGAUUAAUGGGAAACAAACUUAAAUAAGAUUUACUAGACCAACAACAUGAAUGGUUUGAACUAAUAAGUCUAUAACCCAGAGCUAUGAAAACACACUCAAAGCCAGCCAGACUCACAAUCAAACUAAAUUGUCACAGUCUUCAGUUAAUACAUUUUAUACUAAAUCUAAAAAGACAUUCUUGAAUCAACUACAUUCAAACAAAAUCACAUAUCCAAACCUUAAGACAAACAUGUAGGACUGAUGACAUGAAUGACUACACAUAAGAAAACUGGACUAAAAGAAACACAAAACAAAAUACAACAAACUUAAAAAGCUGAUAAAGCAAUAGAGAAUUAGCAAUUGUCAAUUUCUUCAACUUGAAUUACAUGGCUUCACAUAACAGCAUAAUCAAGCUUCAUUUCCAUUCAUGGUUUGACGAAAGUACCUGGAAGUUAAGAAGGAAUCAAAGGGAAUGAAAGGGUUAACAACAGUAGCAGCAAAAUCAGCAAUGUAACAGUGCCAAUCAGCAAACCAAAACCCAAACUUCAGGAACCAGACCCCAAACAAUUCAAACCCAAACUUUUAAACCCAAAUUCGAGCCAUUUUUACUCAGAUGCACGAUUUUGGAGUUCUUCAGAAGUUAUAAACCAAGCAAAAGAAUUUAGAGAAUCGAACAAUCAAAACCAAUUUUGAGCAAUUUUCAGUACUUUUGAAAUUUGGAAAAGGAAUUCAAGUACUUCUGAAAUUUCAGUGUUUUUAGCCUUUUGUCAG